Molecule: long non-coding RNA, 844 nt
Filed under: Lynx pardinus (Iberian lynx)
Lineage: Eukaryota; Metazoa; Chordata; Mammalia; Carnivora; Felidae
Rfam family: Nuclear RNase P (bases 490-824)
Source: RNAcentral
GCUCUACCGCUGCGAGUCCCCCGCCGCCGGGCCGCCAUGAAGCCAGAACCUGGACGUCAUCAACCCUCUCCCAGGAAUCACCCGCCUAGAGUCACAAGGCGGGAAUACAGCGCGCGUGCGUCCUGGAGAGAAGACGUCUACAAAGGACAGGGGCGGUACACCCCUCGAUAUUUGCAUGUUGCUGUGUGUUGUGGGAAAUCACCAUAACUGAGAAAUGUCUUUAGGUAUGGGAGUCUUAUAAAUGCUCGGCGGGGCCACCCUUUCCCAUAGGGCGGAGGGAAGCUCAUCGGUGGGGCUACGCGCUGANNNNNNNNGGGGGGGGAAUACAGCGCGCGUGCGUCCUGGAGAGAAGACGUCUACAAAGGACAGGGGCGGUACACCCCUCGAUAUUUGCAUGUUGCUGUGUGUUGUGGGAAAUCACCAUAACUGAGAAAUGUCUUUAGGUAUGGGAGUCUUAUAAAUGCUCGGCGGGGCCACCCUUUCCCAUAGGGCGGAGGGAAGCUCAUCGGUGGGGCUACGCGCUGAGUGCCUUAAGUCACUCUAUCCCAUGUCCCCUGGGAAGGUCUGAGACUAGGGCCAAAAGCGGCCCUAACAGGGUCCUCCCUGAGUUUCGGGGAGGUGAGUUCCCAGAGAACGGGGCUCCGCGCGAGGGCAGACUGGGCAGGAGAUGCCAUGGACCCCGCCCUCGAGGAGGGGCCUGGCGGAUGCCUCCUUAGCCGGAGCUUGGAAAAGACUCACGGCCAGCGAAGUGAGUUCAAUGGCUGAGGUGAGGUACCCCCCAACGGGGGGGCCUCAUAACCCAAUUCAGACUACUCUCCCCCGUCCUCCUUUUGAAAAAAAUAAA